GACGAACGCUGGCGGCGUGCUUAACACAUGCAAGUCGAACGGAAAGGCCCUGCUUUUGUGGGGUGCUCGAGUGGCGAACGGGUGAGUAACACGUGAGUAACCUGCCCUUGACUUUGGGAUAACUUCAGGAAACUGGGGCUAAUACCGGAUAGGAGCUCCUGCUGCAUGGUGGGGGUUGGAAAGUUUCGGCGGUUGGGGAUGGACUCGCGGCUUAUCAGCUUGUUGGUGGGGUAGUGGCUUACCAAGGCUUUGACGGGUAGCCGGCCUGAGAGGGUGACCGGCGACAUUGGGACUGAGAUACGGCCCAGACGCCUACGGGAGGCAGCAGGGGGGAAUAUUGCACAGUGGGCGGAAGCCUGAGGCAGCAACGCCGCGUGCGGGAUGACGGCCUUCGGGUUGUAAACCGCUUUCGCCUGUGACGAAGCGUGAGUGACGGUAAUGGGUAAAGAAGCACCGGCUAACUACAUG
This 468-nucleotide ribosomal RNA is filed under the name uncultured bacterium. RNAcentral describes it as "partial 16S ribosomal RNA". It matches the Rfam family "Bacterial small subunit ribosomal RNA", at positions 28 to 507 of the family's 1533-position model. The record is from RNAcentral.